This is a non-coding RNA of Lolium perenne, 642 nucleotides long. The record is from RefSeq and is a predicted model, not a curated record. NCBI's taxonomy places the organism in Eukaryota, Viridiplantae, Streptophyta, Magnoliopsida, Poales, Poaceae.
AUUGAAUUCUGUACAUUCUUAAAUGAAGCAGCAUGCACUCAAACUGAGUGGAAUGUUUUGCUUUUGCAACAACAACAGAAAAAUUAUCAUAAUCUGUUAAUAUAGCUACUCUCAGUUACUGUUUAAUAAUCCAUUGCGUCCUCACGUGUAGAAGAACUUCCAGUAUUCACAUCAUGUUACCUCAUCUAGCAUAAGCCUGUUGAACUGCCCCUCCCCUUUUCUCCUUUUGCAUUAUAUGUCUUACUCUGUUUUGUAGAUAUUGUGAGAUUCUUGAAGCUUUGACCGCUUUUAGGUGAAGCUUCUAAUCCUCACACAUGUUUAUUUCAUUAGUACAGACUGCAAUUAUAGAAGCAUAACACUGACUGCAGGUCGUUGUGAGUCGUGAGCAACUGAAGUUGUAGUUUUCAUUUCUGAAAUUAAGAGUCUUCUAUAUUAAGACAGAACUGCAAUACAACUGUUUCAACAGGGUUUGUAAGCAGGUGAUGAACAUCCUCAUUGGCUGGCACUGUUAUAUGACAUCUUUGGGAUAUGCUACGAUAGGUUGCUCUAGCAAGGAUCGGUUCUCAACUGCAUGCAUCUGGUUAUUCACAUUGUUUUAUGGUGGCGGAAAUGUCCUUUAAUUUGCUAUAUUGCGAUGCUCUU